CCUACGGGUGGCAGCAGUGGGGAAUAUUGCGCAAUGGGCGAAAGCCUGACGCAGCGACGCCGCGUGAGGGAUGAAGGUCUUCGGAUCGUAAACCUCUGUCAGCAGGGAAGAACGGUCACUGUGCUAAUCAGCAGUGAAUUGACGGUACCUGCAAAGGAAGCACCGGCUAACUACGUGCCAGCAGCCGCGGUAAUACGGAGGGUGCGAGCGUUAAUCGGAAUUACUGGGCGUAAAGCGCUCGUAGGCGGUAUGUCAAGUCAAGGGUGAAAUCCCCGCGCUCAACGUGGGAACUGCCUUUGAAACUGGCAAACUGGAGUGUGUGAGAGGAUAGUGGAAUUCCAGGUGUAGGAGUGAAAUGCGUAGAUAUCUGGAGGAACAUCAGUGGCGAAGGCGACUAUCUGGCACAUAACUGACGCUGAGGAGCGAAAGCGUGGGUAGCAAACAGGAUUAGAUACCCGAGUAGUC
RNAcentral lists this ribosomal RNA (465 nucleotides) under uncultured bacterium. Its description in RNAcentral is "partial 16S ribosomal RNA". It matches the Rfam family "Bacterial small subunit ribosomal RNA", at positions 338 to 795 of the family's 1533-position model. The record is from RNAcentral.